CCUACGGGCAGCAGCAGUGGGGAAUAUUGCACAAUGGGGGAAACCCUGAUGCAGCGACGCCGCGUGAGUGAAGAAGUAUCUCGGUACGUAAAGCUCUAUCAGCAGGGAAGAAAAUGACGGUACCUGACUAAGAAGCACAGGCUAACUAAGUGCCAGCAGCCGCGGUAAUACGUAGGGGGCAAGCGUUAUCCUGAUUUACUGGGUGUAAAGGGAGCGUAGACGGCAGCACAAGUCUGGAGUGAAAUCCCGGGGCUUAACCCCGGAACUGCUUUGGAAACUGUGCGGCGGGAGUGCAGGAGGGGUAAGCGGAAUUCCUAGUGUAGCGGUGAAAUGCGUAGAUAUUAGGAGGAACUCCGGUGGCGAAGGCGGCUUACUGGACUGUAACUGACGUUGAGGCUCGAAAGCGUGGGGAGCAAACAGGAUUAGAUACCCGGGUAGUC
RNAcentral lists this ribosomal RNA (440 nucleotides) under uncultured bacterium. RNAcentral's name for it is "partial 16S ribosomal RNA". It matches the Rfam family "Bacterial small subunit ribosomal RNA", at positions 338 to 795 of the family's 1533-position model. The record is from RNAcentral.